GUGCACUCUCGUCUGCCGAUUACGGAGGCGACAUUCCGACACUGUUCGUGCGUUGCUGAAAAUGUGUAAAGAUCUGAAGAUAAGCUCCCUCUCUCUCACCUUUGCGUUUUCCGGCGAACCCAAAGUUUCGGCGCUGCCUUCUGUCACUCCGGCAAGCUCUUGUGCGAUCUUGUUUGCCGAUUCCUUUCUCGAUUCCAAACUGUUUGUGCUUUGUUACUGAAAACGAUCCUAGAUCUGAAGAGAAGCUCCCUCUCUCUGACGUCUGCGUUUUUCGGCGAACCCAAAGCUUCGCCGCUGCCUUCUGUCACUCCGGCGGCACCCUUCUGACCUGAGAAGAAGUUAUCUUGCAAUGUAGUACCCGAAGCCAAGGGAAGAACAUUAGAAAAAAUUCAGGCAUCCAUCAAUACAUUCUCAGCAUCAACUGCUUUUUUGGAGUGGAAUGCACUUGUGCUUCUAUAUUAAAAUCUUCCAAUGCUAACGGUGAUGCUGUUGACAAAUAUUGGAAAUGAGUGGACAUUUGUUUCCUUCAGUAAUGCUGGACUUGGAAGAGGUUGGACAGCUUUUAAAAAUGAGUGGACAUUUGUUUCCUUCAGUAAUGCUGGACUUGGAGGAGGUUGGACAACUUUGAAAUUUUUUCAGUUUGCCUCCCCGAGUAUAAAAUGAAUUUGAAUUGGUAGAUGGUUCAUUAUACACAUGAUCAGUAUUGUAAAUGCUUUUAAUUUUAACUGUAUGAAAUGGAUUAUUGAUUAUAUGCAAGUUUUAUAAAGCUCAAAUAGAAUGAUUUUUAAUGGAAUGGUAUAUAAUGAUUUUUAAUGGAAUGGUAUUCAUCAUUAUUCAAAAGUUUUAUAUAGGAAUGAUAUCAAUUUAAAUGGAAUUACAUGUUUUCAUAUUGUCAAUUAUUGUUAUACACAAUUUAUAUUGUCACUAAUUUUUUGUUACAGUUUGACUCUGUCAAACAUGUUUUGUUUUCAUAAUUUUUUGAAACGAAAUAUCUGCCAAACAUAUUUUACAAUGAUUCUGUUCCAAAAUUCUCACUGAAAUUUUUCGUCGCAUCUUAGAACAUAACAUGACAAAACACUUGUUUUGUUUUAAACAAAACACAACGUAUUGUAAACGGGCCCUUAUUUAUCGUCGCCAAACACAGAACAAAACAUGACAAGUAGUUAAGUAAGAGAUAAACGUUAGAGAUUGAGAUAUGGUAACACAUAUUUAAUAGGAUAGAGUUUAAUAAUAAGAAGGGUUUACUAACAAGAGGGGUUGGAGGGUUAAUUAAGAAAAUAUAUAAUUGAAAAUAUAUAAUUAAUGAAUAUUUAUCAAAACAUGACAAGUAGUUAAAUAAGAGAAGAGGCACGAAAAGUUAGAGAUUGAGAUAUGGUAACAGAUAUUUAAUAGGAUAUGGUUUAAUAUUUAAUAGGAUAGCGUUUAAUAAUAGGAAGGGUUUACUAACAAGAAGGGUUGGAGGGUUAAUUAAGAAAAUAUAUAAUUAAUGAAUAUUUAUCUCGUGAAAUCCUGUGAUGUCAUGUGGCUAAAAAUAAAUGACAUAACGUUAAAUGAGAAGAUAAAUUUAAUAUAAAUAUAGUUUUUGAAUUUAACAUUUUUUUGAAUUUAACAGUGUUCAGUGUACUAAUGGAAAAUAAUUAUUUCCUCAAAUAAUAAGAUACGGAAUUAUUGGAUCACAAUACAAACAUUUAACAUACAUCUAGCACACUGGUGUCUUCUAUACAUUUAACCGUACAUCUAGCACACUGGUGUCUUCUAUACUACAGUACUAAUUAAGGUUAGCACACUGGUGUCUUCUAUACUACAGUACUAAUUAAGGUGUCUUCUAUACUACAGUACUAAUUAAGACGACGUGGUUCCGGGGGGAGUAUGGUCGCAAGGCUGAAACUUAAAGGAAUUAACGAAGGGCACCACCAGGAGUGGAGCCUGCGGCUUAAUUUGA
Molecule: long non-coding RNA, 1942 nt
Organism: Cornus florida
Lineage: Eukaryota; Viridiplantae; Streptophyta; Magnoliopsida; Cornales; Cornaceae
Exons: 2
Source: RefSeq, a predicted model, not a curated record